CCUCUCCUUUGACCUAUUGAACUAUUACCUACAUUUGA
Molecule: unclassified non-coding RNA, 38 nt
Filed under: Rattus norvegicus (Norway rat)
Lineage: Eukaryota; Metazoa; Chordata; Mammalia; Rodentia; Muridae
Description: peroxisome proliferator responsive element
Source: RNAcentral